RNAcentral lists this unclassified non-coding RNA (4150 nucleotides) under Drosophila virilis. Its description in RNAcentral is "GJ23554". Lineage: Eukaryota; Metazoa; Arthropoda; Insecta; Diptera; Drosophilidae. The record is from RNAcentral.
GUGGCAAACGGCAACGGCGGCUAAAGGCCAGAGCGCGAAAUAUAUACAUAAGUAUAUGUAUAAUUUAAGAGAUACAUAUACAGAAUAUAGCCCAUGGUAUAUAUGUACAUAAGUCUUAUACUAUAUAUGGAGCAAUAUUUAAGUGAAGAAUUCUCAGUUUGACAAAAAGCGAAAUGUGAAAAUUGACGUUGUGCGAUACGUAUUUGUGUGUGUUGUGUGUCUUUGUGUGUGCAUGUGGGUGUGUUGGUCAUGAAAGUUACAUGCCCCACCGUACAGCAGCGAAAAAGAAAUUAAACUGAAACAAAUCUACAGUCGAGUAAUUUGACUCGACAACAGGCACAGCCACAACCACAGCCACAGCCACAGCCACAGCCAUAGCCAUGGUGAUAAGCAAACCCGACUCGUCGACAAAUGGGGCGCCGGCGGAAGCGGCUGCAGGUGCAGCUGCAGGUCUGGAUGCUUCUGCGAAUAGCAUGGGACAUAGGUCGGGCAUACCACAGGACCAAAUAGACAAUAUUUUGAGUGGCAUAUCCAACACGGGGGAUGUCAAAAUGAACAAUCAUCGCAAGAAGCUGCGGCAAAGAUUUGAUAUUAUUAAAAAGUUGGGUCAAGGCACAUAUGGCAAAGUGCAGCUUGGUAUUAAUAAGGAAACGGGCCAGGAGGUGGCCAUCAAAACGAUAAAGAAAUGUAAAAUCGAGGCUGAGGCAGAUCUCGUGCGCAUUCGGCGAGAGGUGCAAAUCAUGAGCUCAGUGCAGCAUCCCAACAUUAUACACAUAUAUGAAGUAUUUGAGAAUCGCGAGAAAAUGGUGCUGGUCAUGGAGUUUGCCGCUGGCGGUGAGCUAUACGACUACCUGUCCGAACGCAAGGUGCUUAGCGAGGAGGAAGCACGUCGCAUCUUUCGUCAGGUGGCUACGGCCGUCUACUAUUGUCACAAACACAAGAUAUGCCAUCGCGAUCUGAAGCUGGAAAAUAUACUGCUCGAUGAACAGGGCAAUGCCAAGAUUGCCGACUUUGGCCUGUCUAAUGUGUUCGACGAUCAGCGCCUGCUCGGAACUUUCUGCGGAUCACCAUUGUAUGCCUCGCCGGAGAUUGUAGAAGGCACACCCUACCAGGGACCCGAGGUGGACUGCUGGUCCUUGGGCGUGCUGCUCUAUACUCUAGUCUAUGGUUCCAUGCCCUUUGAUGGUUCCAAUUUCAAAAGACUUGUCAAACAGAUCAGCCAGGGCGACUACUAUGAGCCACGCAAGCCGUCGCGUGCUUCGACACUCAUUCGGGAAAUGUUAACGGUGUCUCCACAGAAGCGAGCCACCAUCGAGCAAAUUUGCUCGCAUUGGUGGGUGAACGAGAACGACAAUGUCUCCUGCCUUGAUUUGGCUGAGGAUUUGGCUAAUCAAACGCCGGUACGCCUCGAUGUACUCCUGUCACUGACACCUGCUGCCAUUACCGCAGAUCAGCUCGUGGUACCAUCAGCAGAGGGCGCAGCUGCCGCAGCAGCAGCCGCUAAGGCUGCGGCCAAUGAGCGCGUUCAACGCUCGCAUUCGGUGGGCUCUAUACGUGAUAUUGGUGGGCCCAACACAGAGGCAGAGCGCCGCAUUCUUGACAUGGUUGCUGCUGGUGGUGAAGCUGCACUGAUGCCUUCACCCACACGCACCAUAACACCCGCCCAGAGCCCCGUGCAAGCCAAGCGCAAGCUGCAGCCCACGGUUUCCACCGAGAACGCUGCCGGCACCACAGCCAAAAAGAAGGAGAAGCCGGCCAACAGUUCAUUUGUGGUCAGCGAAGCCACAGCACAAUCACUUGCGCCACCAACACCAACUGCACCACUUACACCAACACCAAUAACGGCGCCCCAGGCUAUGGAGACUGAGAGCUUUACCCCUGCUGACGAGCAGUCAACGUCCACGACGGCGCCCAGCUACUCGCCACAGGAUAUGCAGCAAGUUGGCAAUCUAUGCGAGCAACUUAUUAGCGAACCUGUUGCACCACUCGCCAAUGCGUUACCGCGACAGUCAACACGUCCCAAACUAGAUGCGGUGGUAGAAACACCCGAGGAGAAGGACGCCACCAAAGUGAUAAAAAAAUUUGUGAACAAACACAAGACCGCCGAUUUGGUGAAUGCGAUCAAUGAGAGUGCCACAGGAAAAGCCACGACCAGCAGCAAUUCUGCAUCGCAGCCGCCCCCCCUAGCACCCUUCGUCCGUAAGUGUAGCCUGCAGGAUGAGUCCACACUCAACAAGUUCAAUGCGGAUCGUCGCAAGUCACGCAUCCUAGAAACAGCAGAGAAGUUUCAACCGCCGCCUCCAAUAUCGACAGCGCCAGAGAAGCCUAAAAAGCUCAGCAUACCCGGCGUUAGCGUAGGCAGUUUUAAGAAGGAGUUCGAGCGCAAGGCCAUAAACCCGACUCCUGUGGCCGGACCCACACCAGGUGAGCGUCGCGCUCUGGAGCAGGUGGCCGCCGCAGCUGCUGCGGCUCAAGAGGCUGAGGCACAGGAAGCCUUGGUCACUCCACCACCUUCGCCAGUGUCUGGAAACCUAGAGGCCAGCGAUUCCAAGAACUCCGUGACCUCCAUUUCGCUUGAAGAGGCGCGUCGCUCUAUGGAGAACUCGAUUGCGCUGCUGCAACAGGCUCAGAACGAGUCCAACAAGGAACUGGACCAGCUCUGCGCCCAAACAGAGACAAUUGGCGUUAGCGAAAUAACAGCGGAGGAGCGCGAGCGUAAGUUGAAGAAUGCACGCGCCAUAAUCGGAAACGCCAUACAGCCGGCUUCACCGGGCGGCGAUGCCUCAUUAGGCAGCGCAGUGAAAACGUCUACCGCAUCCAUUACGCUCAAAUCAGCGACGUUGCCACGUCGCAAAAUUAAUGCCAAAUCAGAGGUGCAGCUGGAAAUCAAGCCGCGUAUUCCUGAGCAGCCGCAGCCGGCGAUGCGCUUCAGCACCGAAAUGCAGCAUCCAGUGGCUGAUUUGCGCAGUGCGCCACCUCGCGAGGGUCCCAUACCAUACAGUCCCAUCAAGACCUCACUGCAGGCGCGAGCCACAAGCUUAGAGCCCAAAGAGCACAUCAUAACCAUACAGCGGCCACCAACACAGCAAGCUUAUGGACGCACCAACUCCAACACCACAAAUCGUUCUGGUUCGCUGUCACGUCAAUCCACUGCUGAAUCCGAGACGGAAACAGCAACGACCAUGUCGCAAUCAACUGUUACUGGCGGUUCGGGCAUCUCGCAGCCUAUUAAGAAGAGUCCACGCGAAGUAAUUAUACCGAUUUCCGUGGAGGGUAGAGGCUUAAUCACGCCACGUGAGCGCAGCAUUGAGCCUUCCGAGUCAGUUCACACAACCGCCUCCAGUCGCUCAACAUUCAGCCGACUGCGUCCAUCGCAUCGGAUUGGCUCACUCCUCAGUGAGAGCGGGUUCGAUGAGAGUUCGCCAUUCCAGAAGAUGCGCACAACUUCUAUUACUCGUGAUGGCGGCGAUGAUGAGUCGCUUUUUACCCCGCACAGACUUAGGAGCUCGAGGCCAGUCAAGAAAAUUAGCCAGGACAACGAUUCUCAAAGCUCUGGCGAGGAGGAUGACGACGAUGGUUUCGAGAUACUAACCGCGGAGAACUUAUUCUCGACUUUGCUGCAACGUGUGCGUGCUGUUACGAAUCGCAUGAACGUCAACAGUGACCUUACAGCCGGAUUUCCCAGUCAUUCUAGUCGCCUGCUAACGGAUAUCUCGCGGCAGGCACAAGGCCAUAGGUCCUUCUGGGGUCAGGGCAGUCCCUUCGGCAGCGAGCAUAGGUCACAAGUCAGUUAUAGCUAUACCCAAACGGUAGAAAAAAAGCAAGUCCGCCUCAACAGCGCCGGCAACAGCAGCGGUCUCGGUGCACCCUGGCGUCACAGCAUGUCCCGGGACUUGGGUAGCGAAAUGGAGUCGAUGUUCUCACGCACGGGCGCCACGCUGCCAAGAGGUGAAUAUCACAGAAUAAAGAGUAAAUAUUUAGAUCAGUAGGCAGACAACAGGCAACAGAUACCAAGCGAACCGAAGCGAAGCAACUGCAAUUCUCGAUGCGAACACAACGUAAAUCAUAAAAAUAUCAGAUCCAAAAUUGGUUUAUCCUUAACUUCUACCACGCCCACAAAGCAUGUUAUAACCAUUAACAACAGUCCGUU